CUAAAGCCCCCCGCUUACACCGAGAAGUUAUCUGUUUGACCCAGAUCAUUUUGAGCCUAAAAUCUAGCUCACUUCAUAUAUGCACAUGACACCCCCCCAACCUAUUUUUCUGCAAACAAAACAUUUUUAUAUUAUAGUACAGGAGAUCGAAAAAUUUCUAGACGCUUCAGAUAAAGUACCGCAAGGGAAUAAUGAAAUAGUAAUGAAAUAAACUUAAAGCACAGAAUAGCAGAGACACCCCCUCGUACCUUUUGUAUCAUGGUCUAGCCAGUCUAACCAAGCAAAAAGUAACUUUAAGUUUGACACCCCGAAACUAGGCGAGCUACUUUUAAACAGCCCCGGGGGGCCAACCCAUCUCUGUUGCAAAAGAGUGGGAAGAUUUUUAAGUAGAAGUGAUAUGCCUACCGAGCCUAGAGAUAGCUGGUUGCUCAGGAAAAGAGUUUUAGCUCUACCUUAAGUUUUCUUAUUAUACUAAACAAGCCCAUAAACUUAAGAGCUAUUCAAACAAGGCACAGCUUGUUUGACACAGGAUACAACCUCAUAUACCGGGUAAAUAGGGGGUUACUAAACAAAGUGGGCCUAAAAGCAGCCACCUUAAAAAUAGCGUUACAGCUUAACUACAAAACCCUUAAAUUCCAUAUACCUAAAACAACCCUUCACCCAUACUGAGCUAUUUUAUACUUUUAUAGAAAUAAUUAUGCUAGAACUAGUAACAAGAAACUGCCCUUCUCCUAAAUGCAAGCAUAAGCCAAAAUGGACAACACAUUGGUAAUUAACGUAAAUAUAUAUAAUAUAGCAACUUCAACUAGAAAACCCUAUGUAUCUUCACCAACGUUAACCUUACACCAGAGCAUUACCAGAAAGAUUAAAAGAGAAAGAAGGAACUCGGCAAACCUUAGCCCCGCCUGUUUACCAAAAACAUCGCCUCUUGCCCCCUUAUAAGAGGUCUAGCCUGCCCAGUGACAAAGUUUAACGGCCGCGGUACCCUGACCGUGCGAAGGUAGCAUAAUCACUUGUUCUUUAAAUAAGGACUUGUAUCAACGGCAUCACGAGGGCUGUACUGUCUCCUUUCUCCAAUCAGUGAAACUGAUCUCCCCGUGAAGAAGCGGGGAUUUAGUUAUAAGACGAGAAGACCCCAUGGAGCUUUAAGCCUAGUAUGCAACCACACUAUAGAUCCUCUGAACUAUAAGACCCUGUGUACUAACUUUAGGUUGGGGGGACCGCGGAGUAUAAUCUAACCUCCACGACUAAUGGGCUUCGCCCUUAUCCACGAGUUACACCUCUAAGAAUCAGCAAACUGAUGUUAAAUGACCCGAUAAUUCGAUUAACGAACCAAGUUACCCUGGGGAUAACAGCGCAAUCCACUUCAAGAGUUCUUAUCGACAAGUGGGUUUACGACCUCGAUGUUGGAUCAGGGUACCCCAGUGGUGCAGUCACUAC
Molecule: ribosomal RNA, 1440 nt
Filed under: Pulchrana similis (Laguna del Bay frog)
Lineage: Eukaryota; Metazoa; Chordata; Amphibia; Anura; Ranidae
Description: partial 16S ribosomal RNA
Rfam family: Bacterial large subunit ribosomal RNA
Source: RNAcentral